Molecule: ribosomal RNA, 506 nt
Filed under: uncultured bacterium
Lineage: Bacteria
Description: partial 16S ribosomal RNA
Rfam family: Bacterial small subunit ribosomal RNA
Source: RNAcentral
AGUGAACGCUGGCGGUAGGCCUAACACAUGCAAGUCGAACGGCAGCACAGAGGAGCUUGCUCCUUGGGUGGCGAGUGGCGGACGGGUGAGGAAUACAUCGGAAUCUACUCUGUCGUGGGGGAUAACGUAGGGAAACUUACGCUAAUACCGCAUACGACCUACGGGUGAAAGCAGGGGACCUUCGGGCCUUGCGCGAUUGAAUGAGCCGAUGUCGGAUUAGCUAGUUGGCGGGGUAAAGGCCCACCAAGGCGACGAUCCGUAGCUGGUCUGAGAGGAUGAUCAGCCACACUGGAACUGAGACACGGGCCAGACUCCUACGGGAGGCAGCAGUGGGGAAUAUUGGACAAUGGGCGCAAGCCUGAUCCAGCCAUACCGCGUGGGUGAAGAAGGCCUUCGGGUUGUAAGGCCCUUUUGUUGGGAAGGAAAUCCAGCUGGCUAAUACCCGGUUGGGAUGACGGUACCCAAAGAAUAAGCACCGGCUAACUUCGUGCCAGCCGCCGCCGUAA